UGUUCAAUUUGGACAAGCUGUUUUCAUAACCAAACUAAUUUCUUUGGUCAUUAUUUAAUUUUCCAACUUUUUGCGUUUACAACUUACAAGAUUUGCUAUUUUAUUAGAGUAUUUGGGCAAAGGAGUCACAACUUCACCUAGCCCGGAAAGAGCUGCAAAAAUUAAAGGAAUAACUAAAGAAUGCAGAAACUACGAAGGCUCAAGUCUUGGUGGAGCUUGAAAAGGCUAAGAGAGUGGUUGAGGAUCUCUCACAAAGGCUUGAAGCUCUCACCAAAUCAAGAGAAUCAGCAAUACAAUCAACAGAUGUUUCAAAAAGUCGGGCAAAACAGCUUAAAGAAGAAAAAUGUGGUGAUCUUGAUGGAACCAAUGGUUCUUGGAAAGAAGAGUUAGAAACUGCAGUUAAAAGUUAUGCCUAUGUCGUUACAGAACUUGAUGUUGCAAAGCAAGAACUGAGUAAAAUUCGGCAGGGGUAUGAUUUAUCCUUAGAAGCAAGAGUUUCUGCUUUCAAGCAAGCAGCAGAAGCGGAAGAUGCAAUGAAGGCCAACAACAAAAGAGCAUCCGAACUAUCUAAAGAAAUUUUGGCUGUAAUGGAAUCAAUCGAUCAAGUUAANGCUCAAUCUGUCCAAGCANAUUUGNUGCAAGAAGAGACACAAGCCAAGCAAAAUGUUCUAAGACAAUCAUAUGAGGCUGCCCUUGAAGAAUCCAAAAGGAAUUUGCUUGAUUUAAAGAAGGAAUUUAAUCCAGGGCUUACCAAAAAUCUAGAGUUGCAGCUGAUUGAGACAAUGAAUGAGAUAAGCGUUCAGCAAGAACAAUUGGAAAAUAGAAAGAAAUCAGACUUGGAUUCUUUGAGGAGUGUCACUCUGGAUCUUGAUGAUGCUAAGGAAUCACUGCAGAAAGUAGCAGGACAGGAAGAGUCCCUUAGAGCCAUGGUGGAAGCUCUAAGGAUGGAUCUGGAGAAUGUAAAAGGAGAACACACUGCAUUGAAACAGAAAGAAUUCAAAACUGUUUCCUUUAUUGAGAAUCUGCGGGUAGAGCUCCAGAAAAGUGAGUCUGAACUUGAGUCCCACUUGGCAGAAGAAUCUAAAGCUAGAGGUGCAUCAGGAGAAAUGAUCUGGAAAUUGAACCAGUUGUUGACAGAAACUGAAAAUGCAAGGAGGGAAACACAAGAUAGGAAGAAUGAGGCUGCACAAUUGAAGAUGGAAGUUGUAGUCACUAAACUUGUUUUAGAAGAUGCCGAAAUAAAGCUCAAAGCAGCAUUGAAAGAAGUAGAAGUAGCAAAAACAACUUGUGUAAAAGUGUUGUUCUUAUUAUAUAAAUUUGUACUAUGAUUGAUUAUUAUGCAGUUUAUACAAUUAUUAUUUGCGAGUAGGCAAAUUAGAUAGAUAAAAAAUUCAAAGCCAACUAAGUAUCAAAAAUUAACAUAAACGAAAUAAGGCAUCCACAUCUGAUGGCUAACUCUAACUUGCAGAUAAACACACUUCUAAAUAGUCAACAUAAGAUAGAUGAUAAGGAAGAAGCUUUAAAAAGUUCUAUUAAGAAACAUGGACAGUGUCACACAGCUCUUUUAGCAUGAUUUGAACCAUCUAUACCACAUAAAAUAGUCCAAUAUAUCCAUAAAUCAAUUAUCAUAGACAGAUAUAUUAUCACAACAAACUCUGAUAAAGAAAGUACUCUUCUGAUAUCACUUCUCCUGACUUCAUGCAGAGUGUGUAAAUUUGUAUGUAAUUG
Molecule: long non-coding RNA, 1728 nt
Filed under: Vigna radiata
Lineage: Eukaryota; Viridiplantae; Streptophyta; Magnoliopsida; Fabales; Fabaceae
Description: long non-coding RNA (VRAD_LNC001261)
Source: RNAcentral